RNAcentral lists this ribosomal RNA (366 nucleotides) under Triticum aestivum (bread wheat). RNAcentral describes it as "partial small subunit ribosomal RNA". Lineage: Eukaryota; Viridiplantae; Streptophyta; Magnoliopsida; Poales; Poaceae. The record is from RNAcentral.
AUGUGUGACAGUGACGUUUCUGAAAUGAUGAAUAAAGGUAUUCCUCGUCCAAACAUUGCAUUCUUCAGUUCAAUAGUACACAGUCUAUGCAAAGAAGGAAGGGUUAUGGAUGCACACCAUAUCUUUGACUUGGUUAAAGACAUAGGUGAGAGACCUGACAUCAUUAUGUUUAAUACGCUGAUUGACGGAUAUUGCCUAGUCGGUGAGAUGGGCAAAGCAUUCAUGGUACUUGAUGUCAUGACAUCAGCUGGCAUUGAGCCUGAUGCCAUUACGUAUAGUACACUUGUCAGUGGAUAUUGUAAAAGUGGAAGGAUCGAUGAUGGGUUGAUUCUGUUCAGAGAAAUGUUGCAUAAGAAAUGUUACAUA